AGGAAACUCGCAAGGAAAGUUCCAACCGAUCGUCUACUUAAGUUCGAGAGAGUUUUCAAAGCACAAAAACGUAUCCCUAUGUCUGUUUUCAAAGCACAAAGAGUUCUUGACGAGAUUCACUGGCGUUACUACGAGGAAACUGUUAUGAUACUGACCCAAUGA
This 162-nucleotide ribosomal RNA is filed under the name Triticum aestivum (bread wheat). Its description in RNAcentral is "partial small subunit ribosomal RNA". The record is from RNAcentral. Lineage: Eukaryota; Viridiplantae; Streptophyta; Magnoliopsida; Poales; Poaceae.